GACGAACGCUGGCGGCGUGCUUAACACAUGCAAGUCGAACGGGCCUGUCUUCUUUUUUGGGGGUGGGUUGAGUGGCGAACGGGUGAGUAUCACGUGAGUAACCUGCCCUUCGGUCCUGGAUAACCGCUUGAAAGGGCGGCUAAUACGGGGUGGUCCGGUUGGUCCGCAUGGGCUGGUCGGGAUAGAUUCACUGUUUUUGGUGUUUCGGCGGGGGAUGGGCUCGCGGCCUAUCAGCUUGUUGGUGGGGUGAUGGCCUACCAAGGCGGUGACGGGUAGCCGGACUGGGAGGGUGGGCGGCCACACUGGGACUGAGAUACGGCCCAGACUCCUGCGGGAGGCAGCAGUGGGGGGUAUUGCACAAUGGGCGGAAGCCUGAUGCAGCGACGUCGCGUGAGGGAUGGAGGCCUUCGGGUUGUGAACCUCUGUUUCCGGUGGUGAAGGCCCUGUCCGUGUGGUGGGGUUGACGGUAGCCGGGGAUGAAGCGCCGGCUAACUACGUG
This 499-nucleotide ribosomal RNA is filed under the name uncultured bacterium. RNAcentral describes it as "partial 16S ribosomal RNA". It matches the Rfam family "Bacterial small subunit ribosomal RNA", at positions 28 to 507 of the family's 1533-position model. The record is from RNAcentral.